GUCUAUGGCCAUGCCACCCUGAACGUGCCCGAUUUCGUCUGAUCUCAGAAGCUAAGCAGGGUCGGAUGGGAGACUACCUAGGAAUACCAGGUGCUGUAGGCA
RNAcentral lists this ribosomal RNA (102 nucleotides) under Pteropus alecto (black flying fox). Lineage: Eukaryota; Metazoa; Chordata; Mammalia; Chiroptera; Pteropodidae. The record is from RNAcentral.